This 29-nucleotide small RNA is filed under the name Bombyx mori (domestic silkworm). Its description in RNAcentral is "ovarian small RNA-36904". The record is from RNAcentral. Lineage: Eukaryota; Metazoa; Arthropoda; Insecta; Lepidoptera; Bombycidae.
UUAUUGCCAAUAGUGGCGUUUUCGCCUGU